This 359-nucleotide long non-coding RNA is filed under the name Nicotiana benthamiana. Its description in RNAcentral is "long non-coding RNA (NBEN_LNC003329)". Lineage: Eukaryota; Viridiplantae; Streptophyta; Magnoliopsida; Solanales; Solanaceae. The record is from RNAcentral.
AAGCAAACCGAAAAAUAUGCAUUUUUUGACUGUUUAUCAACACCCCACACUUGAACUCUCGCUCAUCCUCGAGCAACUUUCAUAAUUAAGCACAAUGGAAAGAAACACAUUUUAAAAACAUACUCAAGCAUCACUAAUGACAAUGACUUAUACCAACACUUAGAAGUCAACAUAAAAACGAUUGACAUCUUUCUUAAAAAGUAGACCCAUGCCAAGACUAUUUUAAAUAUUUGUGUGACUUUUUCUAACAUUUUAACCUCAAAAGAUAUCCCAAUACAUUCCCUACCAUGACUCACUUCUUGUGUCAACUCCAAAAUGGCCAAUCUUCACCAAUCCUUUAUAAACUAUGUGCUCUUACC